GACGAACGCUGGCGGCGUGCUUAACACAUGCAAGUCGAACGGAAAGGCCCUGCUUUUGUGGGGUGCUCGAGUGACGAACGGGUGAGUAACACGUGAGUAACCUGCCCUUGACUUUGGGAUAACUUCAGGAAACUGGGGCUAAUACCGGAUAGGAGCUCCUGCUGCAUGGUGGGGGUUGGAAAGUUUCGGCGGUUGGGGAUGGACUCGCGGCUUAUCAGCUUGUUGGUGGGGUAGUGGCUUACCAAGGCUUUGACGGAUAGCCGGCCUGAGAGGGUGACCGGGCACAAUGGGACUGAGAGACGGCCCAGACUCCUACGGUAGGCAGCAGUGGGGAAUAUGGCACAAUGGGCGGAAGCCUGAUGCAGCAGCGCCGCGUGCGGGAUGACGGCCUUCGGGUUGUAAACCGCUGUCGCCUGUGACGAAGCGUGAGUGACGGUAAUGGGUAAAGAAGCACCGGCUAACUACGUG
This 468-nucleotide ribosomal RNA is filed under the name uncultured bacterium. RNAcentral describes it as "partial 16S ribosomal RNA". It matches the Rfam family "Bacterial small subunit ribosomal RNA", at positions 28 to 507 of the family's 1533-position model. The record is from RNAcentral.